Molecule: long non-coding RNA, 621 nt
Organism: Arabidopsis lyrata subsp. lyrata
Lineage: Eukaryota; Viridiplantae; Streptophyta; Magnoliopsida; Brassicales; Brassicaceae
Exons: 2
Source: RefSeq, a predicted model, not a curated record
AUCUUUCACCUCUUUUUUGCCCUUUCCUUGUUCACAAGAGCCUCUCCUCUCUUUCUAUCUUUCAACAAUUUGUUUUACCUUUUCUAUUCAUUUCUUUUUUUUUCCCAUAUUACAAAAAAGGUUCUUAAUUAACAAACGACGCAAUGAAAAUGUCAUUCACAUAUAUUUGAAUGGGAGAUUUGUAAAAUCAACAAUUUAACAGUGUUUGUUUGCUUAAGUUGUACAAUAAAAACAAACAAGCUUUUACUUGACGCUAUUACUUUCAUGUUCCAACUCCAACACAUCACCUGAUUAAAUCUUUAAAUUUACCUCUCUCUCUUUUUUUUUUGCUAGAUAAAUCAGAGGCUAUGAUAGCUUUGGUUCUGGUUUCGAGAGAUCGGCUCUCAUUAUGAUAGGAGGUGGUGGAUGUUAUUUUUGGAUUGGCUUUGGACGUCCUUGGGCUUAGACUCCGGAGAUUUCUCGUUUUCCUCCGGCUAUUGAUUCCGAAGACUUCUACUGCGUCUGUCGGCUUUAGUUUCCCUCUUUUGGGCUUUAGUUUCUCUCGUUUGUGCUUUAGUUUCUCUCGUUUAGGCUGUGUUUUCACCAAGUUUAUCAUUAAUAAAAUCAGUUGACAAAAAAAAA